GAUCAAAAUUUAAGGUAAUUACUUCUUUAGAAUUUAUAAUUACGUAAAUUGUAUAAACUAUAUUUAUUAAAUUCAUAAAUAGAAACAAUUCAUUUAAAUUUGAAGUUAAAGAGUUGCUAGCUAGUUGAAAUCAAAUAAAUUAAAAAGCUAGAUAGUAAAACUAAAUUUUUUAUAGAUCAAAAUGUGUCAUAGUUGAGAUAAGUUUUAUAUACUUUUAACCUUUUUUUUAAGCAAUGUCAAGCAGAAAUAAAUAGGCCAAUUUGCAUAAAAAAAUCUACUAAUUUUGCGCUUUUUCAAAAGUGGGCCACCUUUUUCAGUUUUGCAGAUUCGGACCGAGUUUUCAGCAAACUGACCAAAAUAUCCUUAUACCUUUUUUUCUCUCCUCUUUUUUUUUUUCUCUCGUUCUUUUCUUCUUUCUCUUCCCAGAGAGCGGUGAAGGCAGAGGCGGCCCGCUUCGGUUUUGUCCGGCGCAUCCUUACCCUCGCCCGCGUACCUCCGCCUUCCUCGCUUCCGACCCCGUCGAGGCCGCGCUGCGAUUUUUUUUCCCCCUCUCCGACCCUCCUCUACCGCCUUCGACGACACCUAUCUCACCCUCUCUCGCCCUUCUUGCCAUUUCCCUCUCUCUCCUCCUUCGCCUCCUCCGCCGCCUCCGACGAUGACGCCUCUCCGCUUACAUCGGCGCCACGGAGGUCGCUGCGGUGCCGCAGCCUCGGAGCAGGGGGUCUUUAGCGGCGUUGUCGCCGACACUAUGGCCGUUGGCGGAGAGGCGUGACAAAAAAAAUUAUAGAAGAAGGAAGAAGAAAAAAAAUAAAGAUAAAAAAUUAUAUAAGAAGGAAGAACAAUAUGAAAUUGCACUAUUUUAAAAUAAAUUUGCACUGUUUUAAUAAAAAUUGCACUAUUUGAUAUAGAAAUUACACUCUUUUGGAACAAAUUUUACACUAUUUAGGCUAACGUUGCACUAUUUAGGAGAAUUUUGCAUCAUUUCUUUUUCUUUUCUUUUUCUCUUCUUCUUCUUCUUCUGCUGCUGCCUCCCACCC
This 1037-nucleotide long non-coding RNA is filed under the name Ananas comosus (pineapple). Its description in RNAcentral is "long non-coding RNA (ACOM_LNC025636)". The record is from RNAcentral. Lineage: Eukaryota; Viridiplantae; Streptophyta; Magnoliopsida; Poales; Bromeliaceae.